GAGACACAGAGAGAGGGAGAAGCAGGUUCCCUGCAGCACUCAAUCCCAGGACCCCAGGAUCAUGACCUGAGCGAAAGGCAGACACUCAACCAAGGAGCUUCCCAGGUGCCCCUGCUGUACUCUUUCUUGAUCACUUACUCAGCUGCCAUGUUGUGAUGACACUCAAACAGAUUGACAUAGAGGUCUAUGUGGCAAGAACCCAGGCCUCCAGCCAACAGAUAUGGAGUGAGCCAUCUUGGAAGCAGAUUUUUCAGCCCCAGAAAUCAAUGAGACAAAACCACACUGGCUGUUCAGGAGCAGAACAGAUUUUCCAAGAGGCAGUAAGGAUGGUGGUUUGGAGACUAUUCCUUGGAGUCACAGAGAGAGAGAGAGAGAGGCAGAGACACAGGCAGAGGGAGAAGCAGGCUCCAUGCACCGGGAGCCCGACGUGGGACUCGAUCCCGGGUCUCCAGGAUCGCGCCCUGGGCCAAAGGCAGGCGCCAAACCGCUGCGCCACCCAGGGAUCCCUAGAAGUGUUAUUCUUCGGAUUAGCAUGAUAAGCUGGAUAAUGGAUCUAAGACAGCCUGCCUCAGCCACCAUCUUGUACACUGGGAUGUAUCCUACAGAUUAUGUUGGACCGUGAUCUGGAUUGAAGCAGGCCUUCCUGAAUUCCUGUGUGGACCUGUGUUGCAGCUGAUCAAAAGAGGCAUGAUUCAUGAUGUUUUAUAAACAGUUGAAAUAGUCCCCAUUCUGGCCAGCAAUAGUUCUCAUGGAGAAAGGCAGUGCAGAGGCACCUGGAUGGUUCAGUUGGUUAAGUGUCCGACUCCUGAUUUUGGCUCAGGUCAUGAUCUCAGGGUUUUGAGGUGUCAGGUCAUGAUCUCAGGGUUUUGAGGUGAAGCUCUGUGUUGGGCUCCAUGCUGAGCGUGGAGCCCGCUUCAGAUUCUCUCUCUCCUCGCUCUACCCCUUCCCACUGUUCGUGCUCUCCUUUUUCUCAUUCUUUCUUAAAACAAAACAAAACAAAACAAAACAAAAAAAAAAAGAAAGGCAAUGUACUCUAUAUGAGUUUGAAUUUUUCCUGUGACCUUGCUGAGGAAGGACAUGAAACAACCUGGAAAGAAAUAUAUUAGAAGAUGGCUGGAGAGUGGAGCCCAGAAAAGAAUACUUCACUGUUUCAUUUCAUAAGAGUAGAAUGAAGUGAAGUGAAGUCACCACCUCGUUCCUCCCCACCACCAGCCUACCUCCCUUUCCAUCUGAGCACCUGGUGCUGGCACACUGCAUUCAAACUCUCCUUUCCUGAGAUUCACCAAUUGUUAUAAUUUCCCCUGUUUGCUUUGUCACUUUUGUGUGUACCCUUACUCACACAUAUUCUUUCUGAGCCAUUCAUUCAAGGGAAUUCUACUGUAAGAAAGAGCUGUCCACUUCCUUUUGUAUAUUUAUUUAUAUCUAUGUGGAUUCAUAGAUUCUUAUUUCUAUUCACUGGAUUGUAAUUCAUUACUAUCAUUAUCUAUUUUGAUGUCUCAAAUAUCCCAGAUUUGGUUAGUGAGAUGUUAUAGACUUUUAUCCCCAAAUAUUUCAGUUUGACUUGUCAGGAACAAAGUAAUUCUCUUAUAAAAUGAUAGCACAGUCAUCAAAAUCAGAACACUUAACACUCGUAUGCUAUUUUUUAAAAAGAUUUUAUUUAUUUAUUUGACACACACACACACACACACACACACACAGAGCUCAAGCAGGGGAAAUGGGAGGCAGAGGGAGAGGGAGAAGCAGAUUUCCUGCCAAGUGGGGAGCCUGAUGGGAGGCUCAAUCCCAGGCCCUGGGGUCCAUGACUGGAGCUGAAGGCAGAUGCUUACCUGACUGAGCCACCCAGGUACUUCAACAUUCGUACACAACUACUGUCUAAUUGAUAGUCUAUAUUGAAAUUUGUCAAUUGUCCUAAUAGUAUCCUUUAUAGCUAUACGCAUCCCCACCUUACCCAGAUCCAAACCAGGAUCACACAUUGCAUUGAGUUAUCAUGUCUUUUUAGUCUCUUUUUAUCUGGAAGAGUUCCUUAAUCUUUAUUUGUCAUUAAUGACAUUGACAUAUUUAGAAGAGUAGAGUCAGUUAUUUUAUAGAAAGACCUUCAAUUUGAGUUUAGUUGAUAUUACCUUAUGAUGAGAUUCAGAUUGUGUAUUUUCAGUAGGAAUGUUACAGAUGUAAUAUUGUAUUCUUCUUCACAGAGUAUCAUGGCAGAAGGCAUAUGGUUGAAAUUGGUGUCUUCCAGAUUUCUCCACUAUAAAAUUAGUAUUUUUGCCCUUUGAAAUUAAGAAGUGAUUUGUAGAGAGAUAUUUUUAGGCUAUGUAUAUAUCCUACUCUCCUCAAAAUUUACCCAGUAGUUUUAUAUAUGUUAAUAGUUCUUGCCAGAAUCAAUUAUUAUUAUGAUAGCUGCAAAAUGGUGAUUUUCUACCUCCAUCAUUCUUUCCAUAUUUAUUAGUUGGCAUUCUACUGUAAGGAAGAAUUUUCCAUCAUGUAUGCAGGUAUUUGCUUGUUCCUACAUGGAUUUAUAGGUUCUUUUACUCAAUGGUGUAUAAUUUAUUACUAUCAUUAUUUAUUUUGAUAGUCAAAAUGUCCCAGAUUUGGCCAGUGGGAACUCCUCCAAACUGGGUUCACUGUUCUUUUGCUAUAUCUGCAUCAUUAUUUGUGCUUUCUUUUGGACACAGAAAGAUAUUUCAGGUUUAUCUUGUACUUUCCUUGCCUCAGCCCUAGAAGCAGUCAUUUCUCCAAGAAGUCCUGGUUCUUUUUAAUGGAGAAUGGUAUUUAGAAAUCUAGCUUGGGCAGCAGAUAUGCUCACUGUUACUGGGGUUUUAUUGCUUUAUCAGCAGACAGAGCUGUGAAAUAAAUACAUUUGUGUGA
Long non-coding RNA from Canis lupus familiaris (dog), 2865 nucleotides. RefSeq lists it as uncharacterized. Lineage: Eukaryota; Metazoa; Chordata; Mammalia; Carnivora; Canidae. The transcript has 4 exons. The record is from RefSeq and is a predicted model, not a curated record.